Bactrocera oleae (olive fruit fly) is the source of this 709-nucleotide non-coding RNA. The record is from RefSeq and is a predicted model, not a curated record. Lineage: Eukaryota; Metazoa; Arthropoda; Insecta; Diptera; Tephritidae.
UUGUGGAACCAAAGUCGUUUUGACCGACAUUGUGUGUGUUCGAUGAGUUUUCAUUGACAAUUUACACAUUUAUUUGUUUACAUUUGUUACUUACGUUUAGGCCAACGAGAAUGAAUUCCGAGAAGAAAAUUUUUAUUACGAAAGUAUUGGCUUUGAGAAGCCAGAUAAAUUUCUUGCGCAACGACGAUUCUUUAAGAGAAUCGAUAGAAGUUCUUAGUACCCAACAGAUUCGCCUUAAAAAAAUAUCAAUAAUUCCAGCAACGCAAAUCAAUUAUGGGAACACAAUUGCCAACGAAAUGGUUCCGUUUUUUUAAAGAAAACUUUCGCAUGAACCGCAGUUCAUUUAAAAAAUUAUGUGAAAUCCUCCGGCGUCUACAAAAAAUGAAUGCGAGCUACAGAAAAGCUAUUCCGCUCGAGAAAAGAGUGGCUAUAGCAAUAUUUGCUUUAUGCUCAUCUGCGGAGUAUCGCUGAUAUGUUCGGAGUUGGUAAAUCUAGGGUUUGCUGGAAUUUUGUACCGAAAUACCAUCCUGCUUCAAAAUGCUGCCACUAAAUAGAGAAAGCAUAACAGAAUUGGUGACUGCUUUCGAUGUACUUGGAUUCCCAAAAUGCUUAGGAGCAGUUGACAGAUGCCACAUUGAGGAACAAAUGUUGAACACGCAGCCGUUUCCACCGAAAUUUCCAUCGGUUCGGAGUUCGUAGAACCUUUUUA